This 253-nucleotide ribosomal RNA is filed under the name uncultured bacterium. Its description in RNAcentral is "partial 16S ribosomal RNA". It matches the Rfam family "Bacterial small subunit ribosomal RNA", at positions 524 to 776 of the family's 1533-position model. The record is from RNAcentral.
UACGAGUGCUCCAAGCGUUAUCCGGAAUUAUUGGGCGUAAAGGGUGUGUAGGUUGUUGUGUUAGUCUUUUGUUAAAUUCUUCGGCUUAACCGAGGAACUGCCUCCCAAACUGCUUGGCUGGAGACCGGGAGAGGUGAGUGGAAUUCCCAGUGUAGCGGUGAAAUGCGUAGAUAUUGGGAGGAACACCAGUGGCGAAGGCGGCUCACUGGACCGGUACUGACGCUGAUGCGCGAAAGCGUGGGGAGCAAACGGG